This 468-nucleotide ribosomal RNA is filed under the name uncultured bacterium. Its description in RNAcentral is "partial 16S ribosomal RNA". It matches the Rfam family "Bacterial small subunit ribosomal RNA", at positions 28 to 507 of the family's 1533-position model. The record is from RNAcentral.
GACGAACGCUGGCGGCGUGCUUAACACAUGCAAGUCGAACGGAAAGGCCCUGCUUUUGUGGGGUGCUCGAGUGGCGAACGGGUGAGUAACACGUGAGUAACCUGCCCUUGACUUUGGGAUAACUUCAGGAAACUGGGGCUCAUACCGGAUAGGAGCUCCUGCUGCAUGUGGGGGGUUGGAAAGUUUCGGCGGUUGGGGAUGGACUCGCGGCUUCUCAGCUUGUUUGUGGGGUAGUGGCUUACCAAGGCUGUGACGGGUAGCCGGCCUGAGAGGGUGACCGGCCACAUGGGGACUGAGAUACGGCCCAGACUCCUACGGGAGGCAGCAGUGGGGAAUAUUGCACAAUGGGCGGAAGCCUGAUGCAGCAACGCCGCGUGCGGGAUGACGGCCUUCGGGUUGUAAACCGCUUUCGCCGGUGACGAAGCGUGAGUGACGGUAAUGGGCAAAGAAGCACCGGCUAACUACGUG